GAGAAAGGGAGACUGAGAGAUUAUUCGCACAUUCAAGAGGGAAAGAAGGGCAAAGAGAGGGAGUUGGUGUGAGGAAUCGAUUUCAGGUGGAUUGAAGCUCCGUUUCGAUUGUGACCCGGAAAAGAGGCAAAGAGAGGGAGCUGGUGAAAGGUGGGAGUGUUCGAUUUCAGGUGGAUUGAAGAUGAGUCUCGAUUGUGACCCUGGGGAUAGCUGAUGGUUAUAUUCGCAAGGAAAAAGAGGCAGAGAAAAGGAGUUGGUGAAGGGUGCUCGAUUUCAUAUGGAUUGAAACUCUGCUUAGAUUGGAGUUGACAAGGGUGGUGCGUCCAGAACCUCUGAAGAAACUCAGAUUGUGAAGUUUAGUUUUCUGUCGUCAUUUGAUCCAUUUCCGUUCCAUUGUGGUUCUAAAAACCAACUUCGGGGUAUAUAUGAAGGUCUUAAGGCGGCAUGCAGGACAUAAGAUGAUCGAUUUCUGCUCCUUAGGCCUGGACAGAAUGCCUUAAGAAUGCAGAUGGGAGCAGACAGCAUGCAAUAUUUUCAUCUUGAAGGCAAAACCAAUUAGCAUUACUGCGCUUUUGGUCCACUCAAUUCGAAAGCGUAAAACUAGAGCAUGCAUGCUUUCCUUCAGUUCGAGGAACGUGUAAUUCCGGUUAAGGAUUUG
This 658-nucleotide small RNA is filed under the name Malus domestica (apple). Its description in RNAcentral is "sRNA MD05G0090100". The record is from RNAcentral. Lineage: Eukaryota; Viridiplantae; Streptophyta; Magnoliopsida; Rosales; Rosaceae.